Sorghum bicolor (sorghum) is the source of this 278-nucleotide long non-coding RNA. RefSeq lists it as uncharacterized. The record is from RefSeq and is a predicted model, not a curated record. Lineage: Eukaryota; Viridiplantae; Streptophyta; Magnoliopsida; Poales; Poaceae. The transcript is spliced from 5 exons.
AUUCCUCCUUUGCCCAUAUGUCGAUUCUCCAUAGAUCCUCGUGGAAUUCAAAGAAGAAAAAUUAUAGAAGAAGAAAAAUAUGGAUGCCGCGAGGAAAGGAGUGGCGGGCGCAACCUACUCCAUGGCUGCUAUUCUCCUAACUAAGGUCUCAUCAGUGUUUCGCCAUGCAGCCUGGUUAAAUUUUCUAAUUGCUUUCUCUUUGAUAAUUGAAGGAGUUGGCAUUUUGUCAAUGAUUGACUUGCAUGGAAUGAUGAGAAACAAAAUGAGAUGACAAUCAA